RNAcentral lists this long non-coding RNA (2342 nucleotides) under Numida meleagris (helmeted guineafowl). RNAcentral's name for it is "lncRNA (ENSNMEG00000000676.1)". The record is from RNAcentral. Lineage: Eukaryota; Metazoa; Chordata; Aves; Galliformes; Numididae.
ACCACAGUGGGUGUCCCCAGCUGCGUCCCGGUGUCACCGCAGUGGGUGUCCCCAGCUGCGUCCCGGUGUCACCGCAAUGGGUGUCCCGAGCUUCAUCCCGGUGUCAUCACGGUGGUGUCCCCAACUGUGUCCCAGUGUCACCAUGGUGGCUGUCCCCAACCAUGUCCCAGUGUCUCCGCGGUGGUUGUCCCCAACCAUGUCCCGGUGUCACCGCAGUGGGUGUCCCCAGCUGCGUCCCGGUGUCACCGCAGUGGGUGUCCCCAGCUGCAUCCCGGUGUCACCGCGGUGGUGUCCUCAACUGCGUCCUGGUGUCACUGCAGUGGGUGUCCCCAAACACAUCCCGGUGUCACCGCGGUGGUGUCCCUGACUGCGUCCCGGUGUCACCGCAGUGGGUGUCCCGAGCUUCAUCCCAGUGGCAUCACAGUGGUGUCCCCAACUGCGUCCUGGUGUCACCAUGGUGGCUGUGCCCAACCAUGUCACGGUGUCUCCGCGGUGGCUGUCCCCAACCACGUCCCGGUGUCACUGCAGUGGCUGUCCCCAAACGCGUCCUGGUGUCACUGCAGUGGCUGUCCCCAACCAUGUCCCGGUGUCACCGCGGUGGUGUCCCCAACCAUAUCCCGGUGUUACCGCAGUAGGUGUCCCCAAAUGCGUCCCGGUGUCACCGCGGUGGUGUCCCCAGCUGCGUCCCGGUGUCACCACGGUGGUGUCCUCAACUGCGUCCUGGUGUCACUGCAGUGGGUGUCCCCAAACACGUCCCGGUGUCACCGCGGUGGUGUCCCCGACUGCAUCCCGGUGUCACCGCAGUGGGUGUCCCCAGCCGCGUCCCCAUGUCGUUGCGGUGGCUGUACCCAACCAUGUCCCGGUGUCACCGCGGUGGUGUCCCGGACCAUGUCCCGGUGUCAUCACGGUGGGUGUCCCAAACUGCGUCCCGGAGUCACCAGGGUGCCUGUUCCCAACCACGUCCCGGUGUCACCACAGUGGGUGUCCCCAGUCUCGUCCUGGUGUCACUGCGGUGGUGUCCCUGACCGCAUCCCGGUGUCACCGUGGUGGCUGUCCCCAACCAUGUCCUGGUGUCACUGCAGUGGGUGUCCCCAGUCUCAUCCCGGUGUCACUGCAGUGGGUGUCCCCAGUCUCAUCCCGGUGUCACUGCAGUGGGUGUCCCCAGUCUCAUCCUGGUGUCACCGCGGUGGUGUCCCGGACCGCGUCCCAGUAUCACCAUGGUGGGUGUCCCCACACCCCCUGUCCUCUCGUGGUUGUGGUGAUGUCACCGUGCCAACCUCGUGCUGUUGGGCGCCUCCGUGUCACCCAAAUGGUCACCUUGUCACCCAAAACGUCACCGUGACACCACUUGCACGCCGGCUGUUGUCUCCUGGAGGUGACCGUCGCGCCGACCUCGUUGCGUUGGGUGUCGUGGUGUCACCCGAAGUGCCACCAUCCGAGGUCCACCCAUCAGCUGUGGUCUCCCGGAGGUGAACGCUGUGCUCGCGCCGACCGCGUCCCGCUGGGUGUUGUUGCGUCACCCGAACCGCCGCCGCCGCGACAGCACCGCCUGUUUCCAACCACGUUGCACCGCGGUCUUCGUGUCACCCGCAGGCCACCAUCGCUGCGUCCUCACCAUGGCUGCAGUGACACUGGGCAGUUGGGGGUCUCUGUGUCACAGCCGCGACCCGCAGCGCCGCACUGCCCCACACCAGCACCUCGUGGCCAGGAACACCAUCGCCGCAGCUGCAACCGUAGAACUUGUCGCGGUGUUGUCGCGUUGGGGGUAUCUGCAUCAGCCAAAGCACCAUGCUCGUCNNNNNNNNNNNNNNNNNNNNNNNNNNNNNNNNNNNNNNNNNNNNNNNNNNNNNNNNNNNNNNNNNNNNNNNNNNNNNNNNNNNNNNNNNNNNNNNNNNNNNNNNNNNNNNCCCAAAUCACAGCGCUCGUCGCGGUGUUGUCACGUUGAGUGUAGCUGCGCGGUCUCCCUGCACCGUCCUCCCCACGCCGCGCUCAGCGCUGUGCUUGCGCUGUCCAGGUCCACGUGGUGAGCACAGUGUCACCAUCACCACGUCCCCAAAUUUCCCCCGGUGCCGUCACCACGAAGUCCCCGUCCCCAUCCCUGUCCCCACGCCGUUCUCCGUCCGUGUCAGUGUCACCCCGGGCCAUGACCCACACCCGCUCUGGUCCCUGUCACUCUGUCGCUCUGUCGCUCUGUCACUCUGUCACCGCUGUCCCCUCGCUGUCCCCUCGUUAGUGACGCGGCGCUGUUCUCUGACAGACGUGGCCGCUGCCGCGCUCAUGAAGUUGUAAUUAGCAUCAGUAACGAGCGGCCGGGCAAAGCCUGUCCCAGGCGGCACGGGACC